GUGAAAUCCAUCUGGGAUGGCCUUUGUGUAUGAUGUGAGGUAUGGAUGCUCUGCAGAAACACCCUAUCACAUAGCGAACAACCGUAGAAAGUGGCUUAUGAUGGACAUUGCAAACUCAAAUGCUUAAAGCGACCUCAAUAAAUGAAGUGAACCAGAUAUACAUGGACACUCAGUCCUUCUGUUUUCUCAUCGUGAUAAGAAAUAUGUUUCCACUGAAGCUGUUCCAUUUUCCUACAUGCUGCGUGAAUAGGAAGCUGUGCGACACGGAAGGCCCCAACAGGAAAUUGCAGUGAGCCCUGGAUUCACUCAGUACAGCACAAUGGAAAUAAAUAAAAGCCACCUCCCUUCUGUUGGUCCA
RNAcentral lists this long non-coding RNA (358 nucleotides) under Ursus maritimus (polar bear). RNAcentral describes it as "lncRNA (ENSUMAG00000020013.1)". The record is from RNAcentral. Lineage: Eukaryota; Metazoa; Chordata; Mammalia; Carnivora; Ursidae.